Molecule: long non-coding RNA, 41690 nt
Filed under: Gossypium barbadense (sea-island cotton)
Lineage: Eukaryota; Viridiplantae; Streptophyta; Magnoliopsida; Malvales; Malvaceae
Description: long non-coding RNA (GBAR_LNC004501)
Source: RNAcentral
ACACAUUUAAGAUUGGCUCAUUCUUGUAAUUCAUUGCCAAUUAUAGCCAAACCAUCCCAUACAAACAUAAGCAUACAUAAAUUUGUGGGUCAUAGCCUACUUCAAAGUAAACCUAUUCCCAUGGCCAAAUACAAGGAGAUAUGUAAAUUUUUACAAACCUUCAUAUUGGCAAUUCAAACAACACAUAUCACAAAAUGAACCAAAGCCCUAAGCCAUUGAACAAAAUAAAAGUGCCUAUAUACUAAAGCUAGACUAGUUGAUAGUGUGUUGAGUCUCCAAUCGUCUUCAAAUCUUUACAAGUCAUUAAGCUCUAUAAGACAGGGAAAAGAGAGGGGUAAGCAUUUACAUUCUUAAUAAGCCCGAAUAACUAAAAAGUAAACUUACCGAUUAAUUAGCAUACAACCAUCUUAAGCAAUAAAACCAACAAGAAUAAAAUUGUUUCCCUAUCACAUGCACUCAAUUAACAAGUUAGUCACAAUAAUAAUGUACCAUGUAAUUUGUCUUAGAUGAGCUCAUCAUCCAACAUUUUCAUUUUUAUAUUUCAUGUUAAUCCCGUUGAGUUUCUUGAAAAUAUCAAUGGAUUAUCUAUUUACCGUCAAGUCAUAAAGCGAUCAUCUCAUGUACGCAUUCCUACGAACCUCACAUCUUACGGCAGUAUUACCAGUCAAGGCUAAAAUCCCUCGCAUUGUAAACUCAUAAGGUGAAGUCGGGAUUACCAGUCCAAGCUAAAUCCCUUACAGAGACAAACACCCUAAACGAGCUCGGAUCUGAAUUACCAAUCCAGGCUAAAUUUAGACCCUAAUCGAAUUACCCAUCCGGGCUAAAUCCUUAAUGCACACAUAUUCUUCGGGAGGCUCGAUCACUCAACGAACACCCGUCCGGGCUAGAUCCUUUCUAUAUUUGAGAUCAACGGAUUACCCGUCCAGGCUAAAUCUUUUCUGCAACACAUGCAGGAUCUCAAGUCAUAUGUAAACAUGGUUCAUCCAUCGAACUUCCUUUUCAACCUCAACCAAAACAAUUACCAACAUGUUAUUAUUAAGAAUGCAUUUCAUAGAUUGUCAUGCCAUCAUCAAAUACAAUUAUCAUACAUUCAUAAAUUAUUCAAUUAAGCAUACAAUGAGUUUACUUUGAGUUAUUCGAACUUAUCUAGUAUUCGUCUCGAUAUCGUGUUUUGGUUAUUCCGAAACCUUUCGUUUUCCUCGAUUGACCUCUGGAAUUUGUUCCUCGGGGUCUAUAACAAUAAAAAUAAAUCAUUAAUACUCACAUUAUAUUUUUUGAGUCUUAAUUUCACCCCUGGUCCAAAUGAUCGUUUUGCCCCUAACAUUUCAUAUUUUUACGAUUUAGUCCCUAAGCUCGUAUAAUGAAAUGCAUGCAAUUUCUACCUUACCCAAGCUUAGCCGAAUGUUUUUCCCUCUUACGAUGGCCUACAUUUUUCCAUUAUAUCUCAUUUCUACCACACAUUUUACAGCUUUUGCAAAAAGGUCCUUUUAGGGGUUUUUCAUGAAAAUCACUUAGGAAAAAGUAUUUAACACACAUCCAACUUUAAUAUUCCUCCAUAAACCAUCAAAAUACAAGUAACUCAUGCAUGAGUAAAUUUCCAAUCAUGAACCCUAGUAUGAAAUAUGGGUAAAAUUAGAGAAAGUAAACUACCAAGGAUUUUAAAAAUACGAAGAAUAUUAAAAACAAGGCUUGUGAGCACUUACUAUUUAACUUGAAAAUGUUGAAAACCCUAGCUAUGGUGGCUUGAGAAUUUCAACUGGACAAGAGAGAAGAAUGGCUAAUUUUUGCCUUCUUUUCCCAUUUUAUUUCAUUAAAAUGCCAAAUGACCAAAAUGCCCUUUAAGCCAUUUCUUUAGAAUUUAAUCCAUACAAGCCCAUUUUUGUUCAAAAACUUAGAAAUUAGGAAAAUUUCUCCCAAAUACCUUUUAAUUUAUAAUCUAAAGCAAUUUCAUACAAAUUGUUUCUAGAAGCUAAGUUUUGAAAUUUAUUCAAUUUGGUCAUUAUUUCCUAUUUAACACAUACUUAUUCUCAUAUUCUAAACCUCAUAAUAAUCAUAAAACAAAUAUUUUAAUGUCAGAUUUAUGGUCCUGAAACUACUAUUCUGACUAGGCCCUAUUUCGAGAUGUUACAUCAAGUAAAUAGGAAAAAAAUAGGUUCUACUGGAAAAAUUAGCUAUGCUGGCUGAAGCCGAUAGAGAUGAUAAAAAUUUAGCCGAAUUGAUUGACACGAAAAGUUAUUUAAAUUUUGAGAUUGAGAAAGAUGAACGUUAUUGGGAGUAAAGGGCUAGACUAAAUUGGCUGAAAUUUGGGGAUAAAAAAAUUGCAUUUUUCACAGUCAAACGUCACAGUGCCGAAGGACAAAUUUUAUUCAUAGGUUGUAAAAUGAAGAUGUGAGAGAAAUGGAGGCCUUAUAGGGAAUCGAGGAGGCUGCACGAUCUUAUUUUCUAAAUUUGUUUUCUGUAGUGGAAAGGGGAAAUUAUGACCAUUUGAUGACAGGAAUUGAUCAAUGUGCGCAUCAGGAAGACAAUCGACAACUUACAGCACCAUACACAAAAGAGGAGAUUCAAGAAGCAGUGUUUGCCAUGAGACUCACAAAGGCACCAGGGGAAGAUGGAUUACCAGGCCUUUUUUAUCAGAAAUGUUGGCACAUUAUUGGAGAGGAAGUCACCUCUUUUUGUUUACAACUUUUGAAUGGGGACAUGGAGGUGAGUUUAAUUAAUUCUACUAAUAUAGUGCUUAUUUCGAAAGUUUCCAAUCCUUCUAAUAUGAUGGAGUUUAGGCCAAUUAGUUUAUGCAAUGUACUUUAAAAAAUUUUGGCUAAGGUAAUCGCAAAUCGAUUUAGAGGAGUUAUUGAAAAAUGUAUUGAUGGUGCGCAGAGUGCCUUUGUGCCAGGACGAUUAAUAUCAGACAAUGUCUUAUUAGCCUAUGAAAUAUUGCAUAUGCUAAAACAUAAGAGAUCGGGGAAGAAAGGAUAUAUGGCAGUUAAACUCAACAUGAGUAAAACAUAUGAUAAGGUCGAAUGGAAUUUUAUAAGAGAGAUAAUGAUACAAAUGGGAUUUGAUCAAAAAUGGGUUGAUGCUCUUAUGAAAUGUGUAACUACUGUUUCUUAUUCAGUGGUCAUUAAUGGGCAUAUUGGAUAAAAGUUUCUACCCACAAUAGGUCUUAGAUAGGGCGAUCCUCUAAGCCCGUUUCUCUUUCUUUUAUGUGGAGGUCUUUCGGGCUUAUUAAGACUUGCAACAAAUGAGAGGUUUUUCAAAGGUGUUAAGGUUGUAGAAGCGGUCCACUGAUUUCCCACCUUCUAUUUGCCGAUGAUUGUAUUUUAUUUGGAGAUGCUACAACCAAUGGAGCACACUUAUUCAAGGACAUCUUACGUGAAUAUAGAUCGUCUUCGGGUUAAUGCGUGAACUUUGACAAAUCAACAGUAUUUUUUAGUAGGAAUACUACGGAGAAAGAUAGAAGAUUAGUUGUCAACUUACUGGGGGUUCACAACUCGAAUUAACCAGAAAGAUACCUACGGUAGCCCAGUAUGGUGGGUCAGAGGAAAAAAUAAUCUUUUCAAAAUCUGAAGGAUUGACUCAAAAACCGAAUUGAUAAUUGGAGUAAUAGGUUCUUAUCUCAGGGUGGAAAAGAAAUUUUUAUAAAGGCCAUUCUUCAAGCUAUACCUACUUAUAUGAUGGCUUGUUUUUUAUUACCUAAAGCUUUAUGUGAUGAACUUGAAAGUAUUCAUUGUGAGUUUCUGGUGGCAGAAGGGACAUGGAAAAAAAGUAUCCAUUGGUGCGUUUGGAAAAACCUUUGUUUUUUGAACGAAAAUAGUGGAUUAGGUUUUCGAAAUUAUGGUCAAUUCAAUAUUGCGUUAUUAGCCAAACAAGGCUGGCGUCUUAUUAAUUAUCCAAAUUCAUCGUUGGCUAGAGUUUUAAAAGUAAAAUACUAUCUGCGAUCAAAUUUUCUAAAUGCAGAGUUGGGGAAUUUACCUUUUACUUACCUAGAAGAGUAUUUGGGCUGUAAAGGGACUAAUCCAAAGAGGGCUAUGCUGGAGAGUGGGCAGAGGGGAUAACAUUUCAGUCCGGGAUGAUAGCUGGGUUCAGGGGAUCGACAAAGUUGAAGGAAACAACAGACCAGAAAAUGAGGAGCUAUAGUUAGUUUCGGAUCUCAUUAACAUUCCGAACAAAAAGUGGAAGACGGAUUUGAUUUACAAUACCUUUUCAGCAGAAAUUACGAAGAAAAUUUCACAGAUCCCACUUACAGAGACGGACCAUGAAGAUAUUCAAGUCUGGAAAGGAGAACCGUUCGGGGAAUUUUUAGUUCACAGCGCCUAUAAACUAUUACAAGGGGCUAAUCCGGAUCCUAGUAAUUUCUUAAUACAAACCGAAAUUACAGAUUUCUACAAAAAAUUAUAGGGUUUACAACUUCCUUCAAAAAUCACUAUAAUUAUUUGGCGAAUCUCUUGGGAUUUCAUCCAUCAUCUAGCUAAUCUCAGAUAUAGAAGAGUUUCUGCAAGUGACAGAUGUCCUCGUUGCCGUUAUUGAGUUGAAGAUAGUCCUCAUAUUUUUCGUCAAUGCCCUGUAUCAACAGAAGUGUGGCAUUUUUUACAUCUAUCUUGGGUUAUAAACAAUAUGAAUCAAACUAUAUGGGAGUGGCUUACCUGGGUUUUCAAGAGAGGAACUGCGGAACAAUGUCGCCUUUUCUGUAUUACUUUAUGGCUAAUCUGGUUUUCCAGAAAUCAGCUCAUUCACGAGAGGAAGGAAACAUGUAGAGAACUUGCUCAUCAAAUAUAGGGGUAUAUGGCAGAAAAUGAAGGGGUAAGAGAAACUCCAAAUCCUUUUAAUACAAACAAGAAUCACAAAGGUCAGGAGGACAUACCGAGAAUAACGAUCCAGUUUGAUGCAGCGUUCGACAUUCGAAACUUCAAAUUAGCAACAUGCUUGGUGGUUUAGGGCCUGACGGGCGAGCUCCUGGUCUUAAAAUCGACCCUUCACAAUAAUGUUUCUUCCCCGUUCGCAGCAGAAGCGUUUGCAUGUUUGGAAGGCAUAAAGUUAGGGAUAUCAAUGGGUAUACAAUCGGUUAAAAUCAUGGGGGAUUCUAGAACAAUAAUUAAAAAAUGUCAAACAUCUUCAAUAGAUAAAUCAGAGAUUCGAGCGAUCAUAAAAGACAUUCAGAACAAGAAAUUUUAUUUUCAAGAGAUUACCUUUCAGCAUAUUCAUAGAUCAGGGAACUCGCAAGCACACAGAUUCGCAAAGAAUACUCUAGAUAGAGGAGAGAUCUCUUACCUAGUGGGAGAGGAGUUGAAUCGGCAUCCUUCCGACUUGGAGGGAAGAUGGUCAAGAAGACCAGAUAGAAGAAGGAGAUGAGGAAUCUGAUUUCAAAAGUGAUAGCAAAUAAAAGCUUUAUUCUUGAUAAUAGCUAUUGUCAGAACGGAUGGGUGCUUUGAAAUGACAAAUCAAUGAAUGGUAAUGGAGGCCAGCCGUUUGAAUGGACUGGGUAGAUAUUUAGUUUCCUGUUUUCCGUCAGAAUCAUUUAAUGCUUUUUGUUUCCUUUAAGUUAUGUUUAUUUUACAGUUUUUUAGGAGAGCCCCAUUAAUAUACAAGUUAAUGUGGCCAGAUUUGAAUUUAGUUCUGAUGUAAUAGUACUGGGCCAUGGGUCUUUAUUGGGUCUUUUUGUUAUUUUUUCUCUUCUUUUCUAAUAAUAUACUCGGUCUAUUGAUUUCAAAAAAAAAAAAUACAUUGACUAUAUUCAUAAAUGAACUAAAAGUGACUAAAUUAUAGCAUAUGGACUGGAUCCAUACUAGAAUUUGACUUUUUUAUAUAAAGUUAUUGAUAGUUCAAAAUAACAUAUUUGAGGUUACGUUACAUGUGAAAAAUAGGGUAGGGUAAAGGUAAGCACAUUGUUAGACCAUAAUAUAAAUAAGGACAAAAUAAGCUAGUUAUCAAACGCUAUCAACUCUGGUUGGUAGAAUGUGGAAUCAUUUCUUACACCAACAGCCAAUAAAAAACUGAGUUUGGAGGCCAAACAUACGAUCAUAUAUUUUUAACUGACUUAGUGAUCGAAUCGGAAAGUGAUGAUAGUGGCAAUUCUUGCAAAUUUAGCCAUCAAAAUAUGGGCAACCACAUUAGAUACAAAUAGAAGAAAACAAGUAGGAAGUUGAAAGACAACCAAAACCUAUAUCUACAUGUCCAUGGAGUUAAGGGUUAAAAGAGUUUAUUGGUGAUUGGGCAAUGUCCAUUUACUUAUUUUUCUUGUACCAAAUGAUUCUCUUUAAAAGUGACGUGUUCAACCACCUUAAUUUCUUAUGCUUGAUUUUGGAGCAUGUAUUUGACUAGUACAAAGACAUACACUCUUGCUGCCCAAAUGGAAGGCGGUAAAGAAGGGUACAACAACAAGAACAAAACAUGAUUAUGAGGUAAGUGGACAUCAGAACUCCCACUAACAAAAAUUAGCUAAUCAAUUAGAUGAUGAUGUGAUUAAUCAUUAAGCCAUGAUUAUGUGGCUUAUUUAAUUUGAUUAAAAACCCCUCAUUCCAUGCUAAAACAUUUUGUGGGAAACGAUGUAUGAGGAUAAGACACAUUCCAAACUAAGACCACACCAUCCCCCUUGAAGUUGAAAAUCUUCUCAUCUACUUUUGGCUUUUCUCAAAAUUUCCUCCUCUCUUUGUCCUAAUGCUAGAAGAAGCCCCUCCCCCCUCUAGUAUAUAUGCCCUUUGAGUUUUGAAAAGCAAAAAAAAAUAAAAAAUGUUGAUUUGGAGUAUUAAAUCUAAUAAUUUUUACUAUUAUAUGGCAUAAAUAAACAUGAGAAAAACUUUUUCAAUUAAAUUAAUUUUGUAGGUGCCUUCAUUUUAAAGAUAGUAAAAUUUUCAAUUAAUACAAUAGUAAAAAUUGCAUGUUAGUUUGUUCAAAAAUUUAUAAUUCAAUUAUGAUCUCUUUCGAAAAUAAUAAAUUUAUAGUUUAAUUUCUUUAAAAAUUAUAAAAUUUUAAGUUAAUACAAUAAUAAAAUUACAUUUUAAUCCUUUCAUAAAUUUAUAAUUUACUUUUGACUCUUUAGAAAAAAAAUUAUAAUAUUGUCCUUGCUUGACAUGUUGAUGAGGUUGCUCUACUGAGUUUAUAAAGAUAAAUUGACAACCUUAUGACUAAAAAUACUUAUAAAAUUAAUGAUUGAAUUAAAAUUAUUAAAUCAAAAAAAGAUGUUUAAAAUACAUAAAUGAAAACUCGGAAAAAAUUAAUUAAAACAUCAUACAAAAUGCAAAGCAACAUAAUAAAAAUCGAGGAUAGAUAAAAUUGAAUGUUUUUGAAAAAAUAAAAAAACACAUGUAAAGGCCUCCCUUGCCAUUCCCACUACACCACUCACUAAGCAACAAGGAAGGGUGUUGUUUUGCUUUGGUAGGACAUGUUUGGCUUUGUACUGUGUUUGAGCAUAAUAACAAGUUUUGGCCUGCUCCACUUCACAUUGCGACAACACACACAGAGGGCUCUAUCUCAAUGCCUUGUAUAUGUAUUUCAAGAAAUUCCAUAUUCUUCUGAACCCUCCAAAAGACAAACAAAACAAUGAGGAUUGAGGACAAAACCAACAUCAUGUUUUGUUGCCCAAUGCAAAGCUGCCUUACAAAAACCCCUUCAAGCCAACUACUUUAAUUCCAAUUCACUCAAUUUCCAACAAAAACCUUAGACCACCACACCAACUAUUACUAACCCCGCCUUUUUUACUCUUCUCAAAACUUUCCAAGGGUCUUCCAGGAUUUUGAUGAAUUUCAAAGCCCAUUUGGGGAUUCUAUAUUUCUCUGUUUGAUCAGCCCUUUUUUCCUGAGGAGAAUUUGAUCUACUUUUACUGGUAAUUCCCUUGUCUGUGUUUCUUUAUUUUGCUGCUUAAAUUUUCUUUGAUCAUGGAUUUUCCUCUGUUUCUCAGUUUGUUUCAGGAGGGCCUGAGAUAUGAUUCCAGAGGGACCAUCCCCAGUGACUUCAUCACCACUUCAGUUCUUCCCCUGGAUGUCACCCUCUCCUGGUAUAGGAUCCCCUUUCCCAUGGCUAUGGGAGCUCAAACCUGAGGAGAGGGGUUUAUGGUUGAUUCGUCUUCUUGUUGCAUGUGCAAACCAUGUAGCUGCUGGUAGUCUUGAGAAUGCCAAUAUUGGCUUAGAGCAAAUAUCCCAACUUGCUUCUCCCGAUGGAGAUACCAUGCAAAGAAUUGCUGCUUACUUCACUGAGGCACUUGCUAAUAGAAUGCUUAAAGCAUGGCCUGGCCUUCACAAAGCCCUCAAUUCCACGAAAAUAUCAUCGGUACCCGAUGAAAUUCUUGUUCAAAAACUGUUCUUUGAGCUGUGCCCUUUCUUAAAACUUGCAUAUAUUAUCACAAACCAGGCCAUUGUAGAAGCUAUGGAGGGAGAGAAGAUGGUUCAUAUUAUAGAUCUAAAUUCCUGUGAGCCUGCUCAAUGGAUCAAUCUUUUUCAGACAUUUAGUGCAAGGCCAGAAGGGCCACCGCAUCUGAGAAUUACAGGCAUCCAUGAGCAGAAAGAGGUGUUAGAGCAAAUGGCACUUAGGUUGACAGAAGAAGCUGAAAAAUUGGACAUUCCAUUUCAGUUUAACCCAAUAGUUUGCAAGUUAGAGAAUCUUGAUUUAGAAAGUUUGCGUGUCAAGACCGGUGAAGCUCUUGCGGUCAGUUCGGUCCUUCAGCUUCAUUCUCUCCUGGCAACAGAUGAUGAGGUGCCUAGAAGGAACUUUAACUCCCCACCGGUGUCUAAGACCCGAGUUUUGCAGAUGACUCAACGUACUUUUGGAGAGUGGCUUGAGAAAGAACCAGCCCAUAUAUACAACCCAAGUUCUGACAUAGCAUCUUCUCCAUCAUCCCUAGCUCCAGCUCCAAAAAUGGGGAGCUUUCUAGCCGCUCUUCGGGCCUUGUCACCGAAAGUAAUGGUUGUAACCGAGCAGGAGUCCAACCAUAAUGGUCCUACUUUAAUGGAGAGGGUAAUAGAAGCAUUGAAUUUCUAUGCUGCGCUCUUUGACUGCUUAGAGUCUACGGUAUCAAGAGCACCAAUAGAGCGACAAAAGGUUGAGAAGAUGCUUUUCGGAGAGGAAAUUAAGAAUAUUAUAGCAUGUGAGGGUGGUGAGAGAAAGGAGAGACAUGAAAAGCUGGAGAAAUGGAUCCUGAGACUUGAAUUGGCCGGGUUUGGAAGGGUGCCAUUAAGCUACCAUGGCAUGUUGCAGGCAGGAAGGUUGCUGCAGACCAAUAACUACGAUGGUUAUAAGAUGAAAGAAGAGAAUGGGUGUUUGGUUAUGUGCUGGCAAGAAAGACCUCUAUAUUCAAUAUCAGCCUGGGGGUUUAGACGCUAGGAUUAUGACUCAUUUUAUUUAUGCCUGCCCUUUAUCCUGCUCCUAGGUGUCUCUUUCUUUCUUCCUUUGAUUGUAGUUUAAUAUGUAUGUAUAUGAAAGACUUUUUCAUUCUAUAGUUACUUGAGAAAAAAAUUUAAACAUGUAUCUCAUUCAUUUCUUUGGGCUGCUGUUGAGAGUUUUGAGUUGCAAAGGAAGCCAUUAAUGAGUACAUGAUGGCAGCUUGAGAAAAAUAAAACAGCACAUCUAGGGCUCUAAAGUCCUAUUAGGAUCAUUCAAUCAACAUGCACAUGCUGCAUUAAGGGAAUUGACCAAAUCACAAAGCUUGUUUUCAAAGGCAUUAAGGGGACGUAGCAUGUAUGAUCCUCAAUUAUUGAUCAUCAUCAGUUCAUUUCAUUUGAUUAUGACAUUAUUAUUUUACCCUUUUAUGCGCAUUUUCAAUCAGUAGCCAUCUUAUUUUUUUUCAAGAAACAAUCUACAUAUGAUAACAUCUUAGAAAGCUCUACUGUAUUUCUCUUCAUUUCGCCUUUAGCACCUACGUUUGUCUAUGCGUUAGGAUGGAAUUUGGAUUAUAUUAUGACAAGGUAGGUAUAGAUUUAGUUUGGUUCAAAUUAUUAUUUUAUUAAUAUUUAGAACUAUAAAAAAAAAGUAAACUACUAAAAUAAUCACUUUUGUUUACCUUAAAUUACAUUUUAGUCACUUAUAUUUGAAGUGUUACGUUUUAGUCACUUAUGUUAUUGCAUUGUAACAUUUUAGUCACUGAGCCGUUAACAGUGUAACUGCAAGCUGACGUGGCACGUUAAAUUAUUAUUUCAAACAAAAAUUUUAGAUUAAUUUAUACAAUUAGUCCCCAUAUUUUUUCGUUUUGAGCAAUUUAGUUUUUUUCUUUGAUUUUUUUUAACGUUCCUUUUUUUUUCUUUUUUUUUCCAUUCUCUUCUGCUUCUCCCUCUGUUUUCUCCCAUUUUUCAUUUCUUUUAAUGUAGUUUUCUUUAUAUUUUCUAUUCGUUAACAUUAGUCCCUAUACUUUUAUUUUUUUAAACAAUUUAACUUUUUUCAAGUGAGACAAGCUUGUGGACUAGUUUUAACAAAUAAAAAAUAUAGAAAAGCUACGUUAAAAGAAAUGAAAAAGGGAGGAAAAUAGAGAGAGAAAAAAAAGAAAAUGAAAAAAAAGAAAGUUAAAAGAAAUAAAAGAAAAAAAACUAAAUUGCUCAAAAUGAGAAAAUAUAGGGAUCAAUUAUAGAAUUUAACCCAAAAUUUUCGUUAAAAAUGAUGAUUUAAUGUGCUAUAUCAACUUACCUGUUAACGGCUCGGUGACUAAAAUGUUACAAUAUAAUAAUGUAAGUGACUAGAACAUAACAUUUCAAACAUAAAUGACUAAAAUGUAAUCUGAGACAAAUAAAAGUGACUAUUUUGAUAGUUUACUUAAAAAAAAUACUUUUUUAACAAUUUCAAAUAAAAAGUAUAAAUUUUAAAAGUAGUUAAUAGGCCUGAUAAGCUAUGGUCUAAAUGGUUUGUCUAAUACUCUAAUUUAAGGUCCAGAAAAGCCCAAAUAUCAGAAUUAAGAAAAAAGAGAGAAAAAUAAAAAAAGGAGAGUCGGAAAGAAAAUCUGAAAUUUCUUGCCAAAUAAUCUCUCUCUCUACUCGGUAGUCUUUAUUCCUUUAACUGCGUUCAUUUUUUCGAGCUCAUAAAGGAAGUCAAACAAGGCGGUGGCUGAUUUAUAGGUAAGCUUCGAAAAUCAUUAUUUUGAGUUGCUGUAUUCUUAUUUUAGUUUGUUUUCCAAGUUUUUUUCCUUUAAAAUUUUUUGUUAGAAUUUGAAGAUUCUUGUGAGACUCUGUUUAAUUUUAAUUUUGGAUUAGCAAAGACAAAGCCUGCCUCUGUUUUUACUUUUAGCUUUUAUUUUUUUGGAUUCAAGUAAAAAAUGUUGAACCGAAUCCAUUUGUCGGAAGGUGUUUGAUGCAAUGCCAAAGUAAUUUCUUUUAUUGCUUUUACAGUGAAAUGGAUGAUAAAUUUGCUCAAGAGCUGUAUUCAGAAAGUUUGCAGCUAUCCAAGUUACAAUUAGGCCGUUCUUCGAGUACCAAUGGUAAUUAGUUAAUGCUACCAAUUCCAUGGGUACCCAAAAGUUGUGCAUUAUUUAGUAGUGCUGUUAUUUUAUAUGAUUUCAGGUUUCAAUAAGUCGGACAUCCAGGAUGAAGAUGGAUCUUUAUGGGGUGGUUCUGAUGAGGAAUUAGAUAAAACAUCUGAUUUAGACCGUGAAUGGAAGAGAAGGCAUGACCAAUUCCACACGGUACUGACAAUUCAGAAUUUUCUUUUCCACUAUUUGUUUAGUAAUUGAUGUCAGUUCUAUAUUGAGAAUUUCUAGAUUGGUUAUCGUGAUGGGCUGAUAGCAGGGAAAGAAGCCUCUGCACAAGAAGGUUUAAUAUUGGCUUUAAGCAAUCAAUUCCCAUAGGGUACAACUGGGGCAUAGCAAGAGGUGUUACCAGGUACAAUGAAGAAGCGGAUAAAAUUUGUCAUUCUUUUUUUAUGUCUAGAAUCUAGAUUUCUUAUACAUUUUCUGCAUGACAUUACUCUGAAUCUUAUUUCAAAUUGUGUUCUUUUUCUUGUGUAUAUGUGUAUCUUUGCCUUUAAAAGCGCAUUGGCUUGUCUUCCGGAUGGGUUGAGGGAGAGAUUGACUGAAACACAAGAGAACAGAGAUAAAUUCCAGGAGUUAUAUGAAUCUGUGAAUUUGCUUUCAGCUACAGAUGCACUUAAGUUGUUCCAUGAUGAUAUUUUGACAAAGAAAGCUGUGGAACAGAGCGGGUCUACUGAGGCUAGUGUUAGUGUAGGUGGUGCACAAGAACAUAUCUCAAAUUCUUCUAGUUUGGGAACUUAUAGUACAAAGCUCCAAUCACUGCUUCUUGAAUCUCCUGAAAUCAAAGUACAAUUCUUCCAUCAAGAGGCUUCAACUCCUGAUCGUUGUUGAAACUGAAUGUGAAUUCUUGUUUUCAUCCAUGAAGCUCAGAACUAGAAUAAGCGUUUGAAUAUUUGGAUAAAAAGUGCUUAGCUCUUGUUUGUAUGUGAACAUGAAUAUGAGGUUGACUAUUUAUGGCACAUGUAGUUUCUAAUAGACCUGUACAAAUAUAAACGUUUUCUUUUAUGUAAUGACCAAAGACCCAAAAUUUCUAAUGAACAAUCGGUUUUCGAACUUCUGUUUUCUGUGCAUUCUAUGUGGGCCUGUCUUAUGUAUUAACAUAUGGUGCUUGACACUUGCAAGUUGUAUAAAACAUUUUUACAAUGCUAUGCUGCAUUUGGAUCUAUCAUAACCAGUAUGUUUGCUUUUUAUCAUUAUCAGUAUUUUACCUCAGUUUUUACUGCCCUUCUCUUAAUCUGUUGAUUAUCCUGGACUUAAGGAGAAUGAUAUAGUUGACAAUGAUUAUAUUGUGGAAUCCUCCAUGUUGCAUAUUAAUGUUUAAUUAUUUUGUUAAAACUAAAUAUCCAUGUUCCUACUCUUGCAUGUGAAUCCUAAGAAUAGUUAAAUUCUUGUAUGGCAAUUGUAACUUGACAUGUUCAGAAACAGUACAUGAAAAGCAUUUGAUGAUUUUUGGUAUUUCUGGUGAUCAUAGUAGUACAUAACAUUAGAAGUAGACAUAAUAGACCUCCAAAUGAUAGAUAUUAUCCAGUUGAAAGUACACAAAUUCUAGUAGUUGAACUAGGCACUCAAAUUCUAGUAGUUGAACUAGGCACUCUCCACUCGACACAUAACUUAGGAGAAACUGCCUCCUUUCCUUCAAUUAACAAUAACAAGGAAUGGACUUGGAAUAAUGAGUUACUUAAUUACCUCUAUAAAAUUAUCAAUUACAAGCUUGAAUGGACUGUCCAUGGCCAAAGCCUGUUGAAGUUUGCCUCAAAUGAGUUUCACAUUUAGUUCUUGGCUGGACUGUUUCAAAGGCUUCAACAAGUAAUGCCACCUUUCGUUUUCUAGCUGGAGCAAGUUUGGUGACAACUUGUUGGAGUGCAUGAUCGAGCAUCCAUUCCUCUGCAUUUUUCCUUUGAUCCAUUGGUUGAUGCCUGAGAUCAACGUUUUCUGCAUCUGGCUCUGGAACAACAGGCAAGAAGUUUGGUUCUCGUGGGUUGAAUUUCUUUUUCUCCUCAGUUAUCUUCAUGUCUUUUGCACCCAAUUUUCCAUUUUCUGUCGUUAUGGUUUUCAGGCACUUCUUCCUUAGCAUUGCUUCUAGUGAAGGAGAACUUGUUUCUUGGCUUGGGGCUGGUUUUAGUUUUAUCAUUUGCUGCAGGGUAUGUUUCUGCCACAUCCAAUCCAGCAGUAGCACUAUCCUUGAAUUCCAUUUUCCCAACUUCACUGCCAUCAGCUAAACGAGUUUUAUGCAUCCUUGAACCAUUAUGCUCCUCUGGAUCCAUGGAAGUAGGAACUUUUAACUUAGCUUCUUCUUGAUCUUCCUCUAGGGCACUCUGAUUGUCUAUAACAUGUACAUUCUUAUGUUGGCUCUCUGACAGAUGAUCUUGACUCUGGGAAAAAAGGCUUUCUAGAGCAGUAUCUCGAGUUGAAAACCUUUCAUUGUCUUCUACCUCAAAGUCAUCAUCUGCCCUUGGUAGAACAUGAGAUAAACCAAGGAAUCCAAUCAAUAAUUCGGAAUAAGCUACUUUCUCUGCUUCCGUUUUGUCUCCCGUUUCACCACUUGGAAGUUUAUUUUCUGGACAGAAAUCACCGCUGGUGUCAAUCUGAUCUCCUUCCGUAUCCCCCGGCUUCCAGACUAUGUUGUAAUCUUCAUUUGUUUCAUCUUGCUUCAACUUAUUAAAUGAGUGGAGCUGAAAUUGCUUGGUUGAUUCAAAAGCUUCUUCAUUCAAAUCAAUAGUGCUGCUUUUUUCAGGAACUUCUAGUGCUUCAGAAACAUCAUUAACUGUUCCAGGAACUCCAUUAUCCAGCAUUUUCUCCUUGCCUGGUGUUGGUUCCUCAUGUAACUUCUUUCUUGAAGAAGCUGUUGUAAAGAUGCCUAUCAAAUCUGUUUCAGUGUAUUCUUCUUCCAUGGCCGAUACCUCCAACAUGUCUUCAGUGGAGGAAACUUGGUUGUAGCUCAAGGUUUCUUCAAAGGCUUGUUCUGCUCUAUCAGCCGAAACCUCCUUUGCAGUGUUGCUGUUACUUUCAUCUGAAUUGAUCAGAAUUUCAUCACACAGAUUAUCCCUAUGACUUUCUGACGAAUCCCCAGUAUCCAAAUCAGAUUCCAUUGAAGAAUGGGCUUCAUAAUCAGGCUCUGAAGCAGAAAAUUGCCACUUUUCCCACUCCAAAUCAAUAACUUCAAACAUAGCAUGGUCCACGUCAACCCUUGAAGCGCUUUCGUGCUUAUCACCUUUUAAGUUCAAGGGUGAUGAUUCUUCUUUAAUCAGAACUCCUCUAGAUUCUUCAUCUGCGUCUCUUUGUUUCAGCUUUUCACUGAUAUCAUCAAUUUUGGAAAUAAUGUCACCACAAUGUUCAAUAUUUUCAUCAAAGUCAACCUCAAAGUCUGGUGAUCCUUCAGAUGAACUCUCUGAAAUUAGCUCUACCCCUGUUUCAUUGUCAUAUCCAGAAUUAUCCUUUCCCUUGGCCUUCAUUUGUGUGCUUCCAUAGGUUGCUUCAGCGUUAUUUCCUUUGUUUUUUGCAUAGAUUUCAAUGAAGAAAUCCAUGGCUCCCCCUUGCAUCAAAUGAAAAGGGGAGAUAUCCAAAUCCACUCCAUUGCUGGUGGGCCUGUCAGCAAAAACCACAGGCUCUUCGUCACCCCCCUCCGUUCCAUCACCAGAAGGCUUUACUCUACGAGGGCUCAAAGCUUCCAUCUUCAUGCUUCUCUGGGUUUUCAUAGAACGUCUCCUUGCUUUUAAGAAACAUUUCAAUGGAGGCAAAGGAGUAUGGUGAUGACCAUUAAGGGAACAGUAAGUAUAUGAGCAGACCUUGAUAAUAGAAGUUCCCUCAGACUCAGUCCCAUGAUUCAGCAUGAGAUAUGAGGGAAACUUUGAAUCCUUUAAAGUUGAAGAACAGGUAGCCCUCUGUACAUUCAUAUCUGCACAUAGAGCGACCCUGGAACAUUUUUUGGCGGAAGCUCUAGCCGGCUUGAAAGUAGGAGAUUUUGUCAAAGUCCUCACUAGCUUCAAAUUAGAUGUCCUUGUUAGAGUUCUAGCACCAGCAGCCUUAUUACAAGAAUCAGAGCUGAUAGAACCGGUUGAACAUCUUCUAUUUAGAUUCUUGCUGUCUGAACCGGCUAGAGAACUUACCGGAGAACUCUCCUUUUUGGCCUUGGAACUGCUGGUAGACUUCAUGUAGUUUGGUGAUCCAUCGACAGCUUUGAUCACAGAUUUAUUUUGUGAAGUUGCAGCUGGAAGAACAUUGAGAGGUGGUAGUUUUCCAGGUUGUGCAAUGGUUUUCCUCAAAGGUGAUGAUGAUCUUAGACUGCCUUCUGAGAGCUUAAUUGACCUUGAUUUUUUCAUUUUUUUCUUCAAGUCAGUUGCUUGGUGCUGACAAUAUGAUGGUUUGAGGCUUCCCAACAGCCUUUCUGAUUUAAGGAGAUCACCUUGGAUUCCAUUACCAAGUUUGUUGGGCACCUUUCUUUGAACCAUCCUCGAAGGAAAACUUAGAGCAUGGAUAAGAGAUCAGAACUAAGGUGGGAUUAUAUUUUGCUUUCCAUGGAUGGAUAUUAGAGAGUUGAGCUGUGGAAGAAAAGUAGUCUUGUUGAGCUUUGUUUUCUUGGGGUUGAAAAAUGACAUCAAAAGGGAAAAAAAGAAAAGAAAUUUUAGACGAUCAAACAAUAUAAGAUUCCUUUUUGAUUUGGUUUGGUUUUCAGUGGGCGGCCUUUUGCUUAAAUUGAACUGUGAUUUGGCCGAUGAAAACAAGUGUAAGGGGCUGAUUUGCACUAACAUAUGUAUUAUCCUUUGUAUUCAUUCGUUUUAAGAUGGUUCUUCCUUGAUGCAUAAUUGAGAUGCCACGUAAUUUCCACAUCAUAAUUGAGGGCAAUUUGAAUUGGAAAUAAACAUUUAGCAGAUUUAAAUAAAUAUAUUUUAUACCAUAGGAUUUCAGUUCAAAGUAAUUUAGCCGUUAGUUUCCACUGCAUGAUAUAUAAUGCCAAAUCACCAUCCAUUUGUUGCAAGGAAACGUUACGUCAAUCAAUAUAAUAAUUUAUUAAAUGAAGGGGAAAAAAACCCUAAAGCCAAAAAGAAGAAGAAGAAGGAAAUUGAAAUAAUAAAGGCAAUUAGGGUUUUAGAUGGGGAGGCAGGCAAAAAAGGAGUUUGGGGAAGACAAAGGCAAUAGUGGGUAAAAAGGGUAGUGAUUGUGGGGGGGUCAACUUAAGAGCCUCUGGUUCAACUUCACGGUCAUAGACGCUCCUCUCUCGAAAUUUGAGGAAAUAUAAAAAUAAAAGGGUCUCAUAAUAAUCCUUUGUAUUCCCACCUCCCCCCACGGCCCAUGCCUGCCUAUUUCAAUUUGCCAAAUCCAUUCCAAGUUUCUUAAUACAAUAUCACUCACCCUUUCACAUUUAUCAUCUUUUUUUUUUCUUUUUAAUGAAAAUUAUUGUUUACUAAAUUUAUAAAAAUUGAUAAAAUAAUAAAUAUGAUUUUAUUUGAAAUGAUAAAAUUGAUAAGGUUUAUAAUGUAUUGAGUUUGAUGUCUAUCAUGUGCAUGUAUUUUUUAAAUUUUAUAUAAAAACAUAAAAAUAAAAAAUAAAAAAUAAAACUACCUUCAAAAUAAUAUUUAUUUCUUUAUAAAAAUAAAAAAGUUUUUUUUAGUAAAUUUAUAAUUGAGUUAACCUCGGUUAAGAGUCAUACCAAUUUAAUCAAAAUUUUAAAUAUUAAUAUAGAUAUUUAACAAUCAUAUCUAUAUUUAUCUAUAUUAUGUAAUUUAUUUGAUUGAAUUAGCACCAUUAAUCGGAUUUCAAUUCAAUUGUAAAAUUAUCAAAAAAUCAUAUUUAAAUUCAUAGGUUUUAUUAUUUAAUUUUUACUAUUUUAAUAAACUCAUAUUUAAUUGUUCAUUUUUUUUAUAAUUUUAUUCCAUAAAAUUUUGGCAACCGUGAUUGUGGUAUAAUCUAAUUUUAUGUGGAAAGAAUUAUUCUUUGUUGGUCCCCAUAAGAACAAAUAAAUAGCAGCAUCAGUCCGAAGAAAAUUUAAUGGCAUAGAUUUUGAGCAAACAUCCCUUGCAGGGUUUAAGGCCAGAAAAUGGGACUGAAUCUGUCAGCGCAGCUUCUUCAAGCAUUGCAUAAUGAUUGAGCAUCAUAAAUGGAUACAAUACUACCAAGUUAGUAUAUUAUGACUUCACUUGACCCCAUUAACAACAACAACACUUCCUGCAAAAACUCUCAUGUUUUCUUGUUCGCUAAAUUAUCCUCUUUUUUUUUUUUUUUUUCAAAUUCUAUGUUCAGCAGCACUAGUAACCAAACUGUCUUAUAGUUUUAUAUGAAAAUGAAAAUAUAUAAUGAAAUUUAUAACAAUUAUAUUAUAUAAGUUGUUAGGGUAGAUAAAGAUGGUGGUUGGUAUUAUAUAUGGUGCAAAGAGUCCAUAACGAUAGUAGUUUUAGAGUGUAAGAGAUAAUAUUUGAGCAAUGUGUGGGUUAUAUAGUUGAUAUCAUAUAUAUGACUUUUACUUUUGUUGGAUAUAUACUACUAUCAAACGAAAUAAUUAGCACUGACAGGAUAAAUAAACUGAGUGUAAAUAAAUAAAAUAAUCAUUGUGCCAUGAACGAACCACUUUUUAGAAGUAGAUCUAUCUUAAUUGGUAUAAUUGUUUAGUAGACGUCGCAUUCCAAGGUUAACACAGUACUUCAAUAUUCGUAUACCCGAAAAGAAGGUGAAACACAAAUGACAUUGCUCUUCUUAGGAGGAAUUGAAAAACAAAGCAAAAAAUAUAAAAAAGAAGAAUGAUCUACUAUUUAUACUAUUUUUUGAAGGGACAAAAUGAUAAAAUAGCAGUGCCAGUUUUCAAAAAUAGUAAAGGAUUUUCCCCAACUGAAAAUAUUUUGCAAUAGCUAGAACAUUUUCUUCAACUAAAACAAUAUUUUGAAAGCAAAAAAAUAUUUCUGAUAAAAGGAACAAAAAAUUUAUUAAAAAAAGAAGCACAAGCGAUAACGUUGACACAAACACAGUGUAGCAACCCGUUUUUCAGUGGUGUCAGAAACAGAGGUUUUGGGACCACAAAUUCAAUGCGUAAAUCCGUAAUAAUUAGCAUUUAAAUUAUAUGGGUUAAAAUAUAAUUUUAUAUUGAAUUUUUAUUUGAAGAAUUUUAGCUAAUUGAAAUAAAUGGUUAAUAUAAGUUGUUGUCCCAAAAGUCAAGUGAUUUAAAAAAAUGAGGCAUCGGGACCUCGUUUCUGAAAACCGAGCUAGUAAAUAUUGUUAUUAAAUACUUAUUGAACCAUUGUAUAGGUAAGUGAAGGUUCGAUUCGGUUCGAAAAUUUUAUUGUUUAAAUAGUUAAUUUAUGAAAAAGGAUUGAAUUGUAAAAUAUAUAAAAUUUCAUCAUUAUUGAUUUUUAUUGACUUAAGGGUAUAAUUAAGAUAUGUUUAAGUAUUUAAAAGUGAAUAGACCAUUUUUUUGUUAGUGGGACAGUUAGUACACAUUUUAUUAGAUUUUUAUUUAUUAAAUUAAACGUUUAAAAUAAUUAAAACAAAUGAAAACAUAAAAUAUACAUUAUGGUCAUUUUCCUUAUAUUUUCCACCACCGAAAAUUGAAGAUAGAAAACACCAUGGGAGAACCUUGAAGUUUCGGCCUUGUAAAUUUCCUUGCAUAUCAAUAAUUAAAUUGUACGGAGAUUAAUCGGGGAAAAGAGGAAAUUGUUGAUUAGUCCGUUCGAGUCAAUCGAAAACAUAAUCUAAGUAAAUUCAUAGUGUAAUGAAAUGUAUAUGUGUUUUUCUUUAUAAUUAUAUUAUUUUCCACUAGUUGAUUGUAUAAAUGUGAAAUUUCAUUAGUUAUAUAUAUAUUAUUACAUGUUUUGAUUAAGUACAAAUGGAAAAUGAAUAUUUAGUGAUGGUAAUUCUUGUCAUUUGCAAAUUAUUGAAAUGAAUGUAACAAAUCUAUAAAAUGUGUACGGAAAUAAGAAGAGCCUGUAAGUGAUUGAUCUAUUGAUAUCAUGAGUUUAAGGAUAAUGCCCGGUUGAAUAUAGUAAACGGUUAGGAUGCGAUUGAAAUGCCAAUAGAGUUAGUACGCGCGCUUAUAUGGGAUUGCACUUUGGUGCCUUUGAUUGCAUAUUUUGUACCUCUUUUUGCACUUUGUUGCCUCUGUUACGCAUCUAUGAUGCCUUUAGUGUGGUGUAGUUACUUGAAUAUCUGAGUCAAGUUACUAUAGUUCAUCGGGCUAUGUGCUAAUUGAUCUAUAACUUAAUUACUUGCUAAAUUCUAUUGCAUAUUUAUGGUGUUACCAAAUGAUAAAUGUUACAAUGAAAUUCUUGUUUAUAAAUGUUGUUGGUUAUAUUGAGAAACUAUGGUUGAUGGAGUUGGUUAAGCCUUUUUGGAAGGUGUCAUUUAAGUAUAUAUUUAUAUAAGUAAGAAUUUUUGGCUUGAAACUAUUGUGGUACAUGAAUUAUUCUGUUGAAUGCUUUGAUACUAAUGUUAAGUGACAUUUGUAAUAAUUGUCAGGGUAUGGUUAUGAAAGCUCUUUUAAUAUUAAUUUAUAAGUUAUGGUGAGAUAAUAUUGAAAUUCAUGAAUCAUAUGGAGAUGUUAAGUGAUGAAAUUGAAUAUUUGAUGAUUAUGUAUUUAAAAUUUGUUUAUAAUAAUAUUGAAAUGACAGGAAAGUUUAUAGUUAUAAGUAUGAAACACACGCUUUGUAAAUAAGAUAUUACUGUCACAAUUAUGUGUUUAAAAGAAAUGAAAUAUGUAUGUGAAUUGACAUGGUCAAAUGGAUGAUACGUUUUACAUGUUGAAUCUUUCUUAUUGAAUGAUACAAAAUUAUGUCAUAUUAAAUGAUUAAGAUAUUAUACGAUUGAUAUGUGAAACACUCACUUAAUUUUUUUAAAUGUUUUGUCAAGAAAUCGUAUUAAAUUUAGUUAUAUUCGUUCACUUAAUUGUAAACCAAGGUAAGAGUUUUGUUUAAAUACCUAUAAACUUACUAAGCUUUAUAAGCUUACUCUUUCUCUUUUCCUGCUUUUUGUAGCUUAUUGUAUUGAAGAAUUGGUCGGUCAAAUCAACUUUAGAGCUCACACUAUCCAACCUUUUUUCGGUAGCUUUUGUCUUUAGCUAUUUCGGUUUGUGGCAUGUAUAUAAGAUUUGAAGUUGUUAAAGUUACCAUGUUCGUUGAAUUGUAAUUAAGUUUAUAUGGUUUUGGUUUGGUAAUCUAUGUUUGAUGUUGAUGAUAUUUUGAAUGUGGUUAUGUUUGGUACAUUUUUUAUUUGACAUUGUUUUGGUUUGGUUUCUCUUAUGAUGUUGAAAUAUGGUCAAUUUGGUAGGUAGUUAAUGAUAAUGGAUAAGUUUGAGGUGUCUUUGGCAUGUGAUUUGGUAAUUCAUGUUUUAAGUAAGUUUAAUUGAUGGUAAAUGAGUUACUUGUGAUCCAAGUAAGUUCAAUUUGGUAAACUUACAUUUGAAGGUUCAAUUAGGGGCAUAUGGCCUGGGACACGACUGUCGCAUGGCCAUGUGCUGGACACGGUCUCUUCACACGGUUGUGUGUUUCAAAAUAGUUUGUCACACGGUUUGUGACAUGGCCGUGUGACCCUAUUUCUAAUAUACACACGGUUUAGCACACGGCCUGUGACACGGUCGCGUAAGGGUAUUUCGAAUGUUUCAUAGGCUGUCACACAUUUGGCCACACAACCAUGUUACUAAGCCACAUGGCCUGAGCUUUGUCACACAGCCUUAUGACCCCUGUUUUCAAAUUUUUUUUUAUUUUGAUACAGAUUGAUCCUUGAUUGGUUCCAAAGUCAUUUUUAGGUUUCGUAUUGUAACACCCCUAACCUGUAUCCGCUAUCGGAAUAGGGUUAUGGAGCAUUAUUGAAGUUUACAUUUCAAAAUAAACAAAACUUUUAAACAUUUUAAUUCAUAUUAUAACACCGCUUAUUAAUUCAUAUUAUAACACCCCUUAGCCGUAUUCAACACCAAAACAAGGUACGGGGCAUUACCGGACUUAUAACGCAAGCGAACAUACAAAUUGAGUCAUAAAUUUGCAUCCAAAUUAAAACCAUUUAUAUUCAAUCAUAAAGUCCCUAAUUCGAGCCUACAAGGCUCAACACAUGCUUCGGAAGUGAUUCGGGACUAAACUGAGCACUAAGGAAAUUUUUACAAAACUUAGAAAAUUUUUGCCAUGUACAGGGGUCACACGCCCGUGUGGUUUGGGACAUGCCCGUGUGGUCACACAUGCCCGUGUCCCUAACCCGUGUAACUCUCUGUUUUGUAAAACAUGAACCAAUUGAGGUCAUAAAGCCGAGACACAUGCCUGUGUGCUAGGCCGUGUGGUUAAUUUAAUUUUCAUAAAAUAGGUGCAGACUUUACAUGGUCGGGACACACGCCCGUGCUUGAGCUGUGUCCCACACACAGCUGAGACACACGCUCGUGUCUCUGCCCGUAUGCUCAAUUCUGAGCAUUUUGUUUCUCAAAAUUAAGGUGCAGGGUGUAACACCCCUUAACCGUGGCCGUCACCGGGGUCGAAUACGAGGUGUUAUCGGGCUUAAUUCAUCAUUUAUACAGCUCAAACAAUUUAUUUUAAAACUCCCAGACAAGCUGUCAAUCUGCAUUAUAGUCACUUAAAAAUUUGUAUCUUGAGUUCCGAAACUCAAAAUAAAAUUUCGUAAAAUUUUCCUGAAACUAGACUCAUAUAUAUAUCUAAUAAAAUUUUUGUAGAAUUUUUGGUUGGUCCAAUUAGUACAGUUUAUUUGUUAAAGUCGCCCCUGUUUCAGGGUUUGACUACUCUGACCUCUGAGCAUUACGACUUAGAUAUCUCCCUACACAGGGCUUCAAUGCCUAUGAAGCUUGUCUCUAAUGAAACUAGACACAAUAAUGAAUCUGAAAAUAUAAAGGAUGACUUCUAAUUAUCUCUAAAAAUUUUAUGGUGAAUUUCCAAAGUUAGAACAGGGGAUCCAGAAAUCGCUCUGGCCCUGUUUCACAAAAAAUUAAACAUCUCAUAAAAUAUAGCUCAUAUGGUCGUUUCGUUUCUUCCAUAUGAAAAUAGACUCAUCCAGCUUCGAUUACAUAAUUUAUUCAUUAUUUAAUUCCAUUUCUAAUAUUUUUAGUGAUUUUUCAAUUUCACAUCACUACUGCUGUGUGCAUCUAUUAUUAAAGUAAAUUUUACCUAUUAGAGUAAUUUAACAUACAUAUCACCAAGUAUGAUCAUGACUAGCCAUACCAAAGGCUAAUCAUUACCAAGCAUUUCCUUACUACUCAAUAACCAUAUCAUGAGUGUAACACCGGAAAUGAUUAGCCAUGACAAACGGCAUAAUAAUCAAAUAGACUUUAACUAUUACUUAUAACUAAGUAUCAUAAGACCAAAUCCAACUUGACAUUUAUGCCAUUUUCGCAUGGCUAAAAGUAUACAUACCAAAGUUCAAACAAAACAUAUUAGUCUAUACAUGCCGAAAUGUUCUCUUAGACCAACUAAGAAGAAGAUACCAAAAAGUUACAAGCUGGUGUGAUCGACGAUGGUCCCGAGCACACAAAAAUAGAUCAAAGGAACCUAAAUAAGUGACAAAUAAACACACCAAAUGAGUAUAUAACUCAGUAAGUCAUAAGCAUUACACUGCCGUCCAUUUAUAAAGUAUCAUAAAAGAAAACAAACAAUGCAAGAUUAGGUACUCCAUCCAUACCGACUAUGCUAUAAUUUCACGCACAUUUAUCAUUACAUGCUCUCAACUAGCCAAGCCUCCAUUGACAUCUCGUAUGAUAUUCGAUAUGAUAUUUGAUGCAUUUCCACACAUCAUUUUAUUUUCGUUUAGAUUAUACUAAUAAUAGCAUUUCAUCUAUUCCACAAUAAUCUUAUGUUCCUAACUUCAAAUAUAAUCACCACAUAGGUUCAAGACUUACCAAGCUCAGUUCCAAAUAUAAACAUAACGUCUAUUCCUCAUGAACUCAAAGUACCUACUCAUUCCGCUGUCCAUGAUCUACUCGAUAAAGUCACACACUUAACGUUAAUAAUUAUUCGAAAAUAUAUAGUAAGUCCGCACACUUAGUGCUUAAUAAUCAAACUCGCACACUUAGUGCUAUACAAUUAAACUCGCACACUUAGUGCCAAUCUCAUUAUCGUAAAUGUUUAUACCCGCACACUUAGUGCCGAAAUCAACAACUCAAUACAUCUCACUUCUUUUUACACUCGAUAAUUUUUUCACUACAUGCAUUUAUAUAUCAUUCCAUUCGGCAUAAGUACAUAGGUAUUAUGAUUAUUUAAAUCAAUACAAAAUAUAUGCUUAAUAACUUACCUUGUGUUGGGUAAAACGGUUCCAACUCGGCUACUCGAUGUUCUUUCCUUUGCCUUUGCUUGAUUCUCCUCCUUUAACUUCUUGAGCUUAAUCAAUAAAUUAACUAGUUUAACCGUCUUGCUAAAUAUUUAUAUCAAAAUAUUAAUGAUUUCAUAUCAUAGGAGAUACAUGACUAAUUCUUAUCUUCCUACCAUAUGUUUUUGAGCUAUUCGGCUAAUAACCAUAUGCUAUCACCCUACUAUCAAUAAUCCAAUCACACAUGCAUAUAUAUAUAUAUAUGAUAUCAACUAUACUAUCAUCUUUAAUUCAUCUAAACACAAAAUUCCAUCUCAUGAACACUUGACCGAAUUUUUCCUAAUCUAGCAUGGCUUCACAUCUAUUUGUAACAUCCUAUAAAUUCACAUAUACCACAUUUCUACAUAAAUUUUCUUUCACUUUUCCACUACUUCCAUUCACAACAUCAAAAGCACCAUACUCUUAGCAUUUACCUCUUCCUAACCAUAUGCCAUCUAAGUACCCCUUUAGGUAGAAAAUUAACAUAUGGGUUGUAAUAAGACAUUGGCUACUAACUAGAUUUUCACAAGAAUUUAGUAAAAGUAACAUAAAUCCUACCUUAAUCAACCCCUUUUGAGUUGGCCGAAUGUCUAGAGCAUUUCUUCCUUCCUUCUCCUAACUCACGGCAAUUGCAAAAAAAAGGAAAGAAGAUGAAUACUCCCUCUUCCUUCCUUAUUUUAUUCAUCUUUUCUUUUUAAUUCCUUUCUUUAAUUUAUUUUAAUUGUUAACUAAUAAAAGAAUUGCAUUGAAAUUCAACCUAGUGGAUGGGGCAUCAUGGCUUGGCCGGCCACUACUUGGGUUUUUGGGCAAUUUGACAUGCAAACCCAAGUUUCCUCACUUUGUUAUUAUUUGAUCCUUACAUAUUCCCCUAUCAUAUUUUCUUAAGUUCUCAACUAAGUCAAUCACAUGAAAUUCACAUUCAUAAGUCUAAAUUAAAACAUCAAAUUUUCACACAUGCACUAAUACACAUAGAGGAUAUGCAACCAAAUUUUAAAUAAAUUUUGGGACUCAGUCUUGUGGCCCCGAAACCACAUUCCGACUAGGGUUGAAUUAAGACUGUCACACAGGGGACACACGACCGAAACACAUGCCCAUGGGACAAGCCGUGUGUCACACACGGCCUAGACACAUGCCCGUGUGUCUACCCAUGUAGACAAAAUAAAGGCUAUUUACCAAGCCAUUUGUCACCCUUAUUUGUACAUACACAUCCACAAUCUUAAUGGCAUAAAUCAUGGCAUAUUUAGGCAACGAAAACGUCUACAAACAAGGCUAGAUCAUGUCAUUUCAUUAUCCACACUCAACAUAUUUACAACAUCAUAUUUGCCAAACCAAAUCAUACCAAACUUCUACAAGUUUCAAUAUGGCUACCAAUAACAUGCAUAAUUUUACUUAGUUUUCCUAGCAUACCAGUAAGCCAAUCUUAACAAUUCAACAACAAAAUCAUUAAGCCACAUUCAACCAUUUACCAAGCAUUUAUAAACCACAUCACACAAGGGAUAGUUGCACAUGCAUGCAUACAUAAAUAUAUAUAAGCUUACAACCAAUUCAACCAAAAUGAGCCAAGUUACAAGGCCAAAUACCACAUCAAGCCUUUGACAAUUACAAGCCAAUACAUUUGGCCAAACUCAUAAAGACACAUAUAACAAAAUGACUAAGUCCCUAUACAUGCCAUAUUCUCAAAAUGUUUAAAAUCAUCGGUACCCAAAAUAACAUUUUGAUAGUGUGAUGCGAACUCCGACAAUCUCCAACCCGAGCUAGCUUGGUGACAUUAUAAAAAAUGGAAAAUAAAACGGAGUAAGCUAUAUAGCUUAGUAAGCUUGUAUGAAAGAAAUAAGCAAACUUUACCAUAUAUUAACAUGCAAGUAAUAUAACAUAAGAUAAUGUAAUUUACCAUAAUCUCAUGAUCAUAACUCACUUCCAUCACAACUUACCUUGAAAUCGUCAUUUCAUGAAUUAAUAAUCAUAAGCUUUAAGUACAUACCUGUACCAUCUCGAAAUAAUUUCAUACUUAGUCUCAUCGUUGUCAUACCCAAUGAACCAAUUGGAAUAAUAAUAUCGGAUACCCGGAAAAACCUUGCACACAAGGUGCCACAUAUGUAGCCAUUGCUACCUCUAUCUCAUAACACAUAUAUGCUCGCUCUUGAACCAUUUACGGGCCAACUCACACAAGCUGUUAGUCAAGACGUAGCUACUCGGUGCUGCUAACAUAACCUGUCAAGUAAUCACAACGUAUGCCGGUUACUCAGCCACCGAUAGGAUGUAUAUGACCAGCACCCGGAUCACAUAACAUAAAACCCUAGUGACAUGUCACUUGUAUCCUAAUCUAUUCUUAAGGUUCAAUUGGGAUUUCUCACUUGCCAAAAUGUUGUCGAACGUGUCCGCAGAGUCAUUUACACAAUUCAUGAAGUAUUAAAGCAUUUAAAAUACAAUUAUAAUAAAGCUUAUUUAACAUACGAACUUACCUCGGGCACAAAAACAAGCAAAGGGAUCUAUUCGUCAAUUACUUUGUUUUUUCCCCUAAUCUAGACCCGAACUUCAUUUUUCUUGAUCUAUAAUACCACAUUUAACUUAUUUAAUCAUCACAUUAUUCAAUUCAGCCUAAAAACACAUUAUGAAAAAAUUUACAUUUUUGCUCCCAACUUUUCAACAUUUUACAAUUUAGUCCCUAAGCUCGUAAAAUGAAUUUCUUUUAAUUUCAUCACAACCCAAGCCUAGCCAAAUAUUAUUUGUACUUAUAAAAGCCUACAUUUUUCAUUUAUUCACACUUUUCUGCACAUUUUAUAGACUUUUACAAAUAAGUUUCUAUUUAACGUUUUUAUCGAAAAUGACUUUAUAAACAUUGUUUAACUAACAACAAUUUGCAUUUUCUACUAUCAAACAUCAAAAUACAAACAUAUUUAACAUGGGUAAAAUUUUAGACUUUAACUUUCUUUCAAAUUAGUCCUUGAAAUAGCUAAAUCAAGUUACAACUGUCUUAAAAAUAUAAAAAUCAUUAAAAAUAGGACAAGAACGGACUUACAAUCGAGCUUGAAAGCUUGGCCAAAACCCUAGCUAUGUCUUCCUUUUGAAUUUCGACUAUGGGGGGAUGAAAUUGAGAAGAUGGACAUCUUUUAUUUAGUUAAUUUUGUCCUUCUUAGCCAAAUUACUAAAAUACCCUUAAUGCAUAACUUUGAAAUUUCACCUAACCAUGUCCAUUUUUGUCCAAGGUAUAAUGGUCUAAUUGCCAUUUAAGGACCUUUAAUUAAAAGUUCAUAACAAUUAGGCACGUUUAACUUAUAGAAUUCAAGUUUUGCACCUAUUGCAAUUUAGUCCUUCUAGGCAAAUUGCGUAUUCAAUUGAUAAAAUUUCUUAACAAAAUUUUCAUACAAUUAUUCUAUCAUGCUGUAGACCUUAAAAUAGAAAUAAAAUAAAUAUUUCUACUUCAGAUUUUGUGGUCUCGAAACCACUUUCUGAUUUGACCCAAAAACGGGCUGUUACAUAUAUCACUAAUCAUAGAAAAACCAAAAAAAUAACAUGCAUAUCAUCCUUUAUACGAGCCCUCAAGGCCCUGAAAACACAUUGGAAAUAAGUUGAGACUAAAUCAAAAACAUUUAGAAUUUUUCAGAAAAAGAUGAAAAUCUUCAAAUUGUAGGGGUCACAUGGUCGAGAGACACGCCCGUGUCUCAUGCCGUGUGGACAUUCGAAAUAGAGACAUACGACCAUGUCCCAGCCCGUGUCCAUGCCCAUGUAACUCUCUGACUUGGGUCACACGGCCAAGCCACACACCCAUGUGUCAGGCCAUGUCACUCUCGAAAUGUAACUUUUAAAAUCCUACAGGGGACACACAGCCGUGUCGCCUGGCCGUGUGUCACACAUGGCUGAGACAGACACUCGUGUCUCUGACCGUGUGGAAGAAAAAUAGGCCAUUUCCAAGCCAUUUUUCUCACCCAUUCAUGCACACACCUAUAACCAAUUUACCACAUGUAAUCAAGCACUCCAAAGUGCACCAAACCAUGUUAUAACAAGCUAUCCAAUUAAGGUACAUGUGUUCAAAAAGCACCUCAAUCACAAUCAUCAAACAUAUAUAUCCAUAUACAUAAAUUGGCCAAAAGUUCAACUAACUUAGAACUAAACUUAUGUCAUAACUUACCACUUUGUUUACCUAUCAAAUUUCACACUAAAAGUAUCAAACAUGCCAUUUUACAUCUAGCACCAAUAGCCAUACAUGUCAUCUUUAACAAUUAUACCAAUUCACAACAUUCAAACAUAUCAAAAGACCAUUUAAAAUAUACGUUUUUAUUUUCUAUUUGAACUUCCAUCAUAUAGUUAUUAUGCAUCUCAAAUAUACAUAUAUCUAACUUAUACAUAAUUAACCAUAACUCAUUCAUAUAUAUAUAGUUUAAUUUCAUACCAAGUUAUACCAUAAUUGGCCAUAUGCCAAAGUUACAUGCAAACAUACCAAUUUGGUUAUUCAAAAGACCACUUCAAAUGACCAUAUCAACUCCAACUAUCAAGGCCAUCUAAAUUACACAAAUCUAAUCGUAUCUAGAUGGUUCCAACAAUCAACAUGUAUAUAAACCAUAUUUCAACCAUGCACAUCUAUCCAAAACCUUUCCAAGGCAUACCAUAUCUUGACCAUGUUGAGGUUACAUCAUCAUAUAUCACUUUUGUAACGCCUCAAAAUCCUAAGUAUUUAUUUUUGUAUGGUUGUGACACAAGUGUGUAUCUGCUUCAGUGGUUAAGUGUCCUAAGAAGUGUCUGAGAAGUCUUGGGUUCAAGCCUUGGCUUGUGUAAAAAUUUUGUUUUAAAUGGAUAAACCCCUGUCUCUAGGCAGUAGGCUUUUAAAUAAAAGUGGGUAAAGCAUGUCAGAAAGAGCCUACUGGUCUAAGAGAUAGUGGCGUGGCAUUGUUACUAAUGGUGUUGAGUUUGAGUCCUACUAUGCGCAAAGAUGUUUUAUUUUGGUGCUAGUGCCGUAGGAGUGUUCUAGCUUAGUCGAAACUCUGGUUUGGGGGGAGUUCAAAUUAGAUGGUUAAGAGAUUGGAGGAGAGUUUCAAGGAGUGGAUCAAAGGAAUUGGUGGUUGGUUUGAGUGAUUUGGUGAGGAAAAUAAGGGAUUUUGAAAGGAGUGGGAGAGUUAGUGCCAAAUGUGAACUCCUGCUUCUUAAAAUUCGACUUUGGUUGCUUUCUCUCCUCAUUUUUGGUUGUGGACAAUUGCUUUCAGGUUCUUUUCACUCUUUGUUUUGGUAGCCGGAUAUUGCUAUUGACCAUUCGAGUACUUUUCGUGUUGGCCUAAUUUGAUUUUUUUUCUUCCUCUACUCCUCUAGCAACCUUUCUCUCAGUUUUCUUUACUUUUGCUGAAUCUUCAUUCUCUCCCCUCCUUGAAUCGAUUUUGUUUUGGCCAAUUCUUUAUUCUUCUUCCUCUCUCAAGCUUUGGCCGAAUACUCCCUUUUCCCUCUUCUUUUUCUCCCAAUUCUUUUUCCUCUCUUCAUUUUGUUGUUUGGCCGAAUACUCCACCUCUCCUCCUCUUAUUCUUUCGAUUUCAGCAUUGUCAUUUGAUCAAUCAGUUUGAGUGUACUGUUGCUUUCUCUUUCUUUUUCUCUCUUUGUCGGGCUAGUCUUGUAUCUAACAUCUUCUUUUACUGCUGAUUUACUAGGACUGUAUUGGUGCUAGCCUUUGCCUCUGUGGUAUCGUGUGAUCGUUAAGGGUAGACCGACUACUUCCUUUCCCUUACACUUGGGUUGCAUUUUCGGUAAGUGGUUAAUCAUUUGGUUCAAUCUGAUCGUGUGAAUAAAUAUUAACUGGAAUUCAGUUAUAAUGCAGUUAAUCGCCUAGGAGCAUAUAAUCAACCUUUUUCAGCGGUUUAAGUAGACUGAGCCAUUUUAGCUCUAUUAAGGCAAGUGACAAUCUCCCUUUUGGACAACUAAAAUAAGAGGGGUCGUGAUAACCCUAUCAUGAAAGGACUAAUGGUGUGUUAUGUUUGACUAUAGGUUGGAGUGCUCGAGAGUAGGGUGCGCACUUUUGCAAACAAGGUGUGUAACACAAUCCCAACUUUGGAAAUCGGCAAAAGCUGGAAUAAGUGAACGACGACGCUACAUGGGCGUGCGCUCGCUCGUGUGGUAGUCCAUGUGACUAAACAUGGGCGUAUAAUUGUCGAGGCCAUCCAUGAGCGAUUUCAUGGGUCGAGGUCGUUAUAGGCCAUUUCGGGUCGAACUAGGCCGUGUGGGCUCCACGGCCAUGUGGGCCCCACUCGAGUAAACCACACAGACGUGUGGAGAAUAUUGGGCUAGGCUGUGUAAUCCACAUGAACAAGGCCAUUUCUGGGCUAUGUGGGCUCACAUGGGCCCGCAUUAUGGGCAUUGGGCCCAUUUUUACUGUUUGACUGUUAAGGUUGCACGGGUCGUCCGAGACUACUGUAGACGUAUUGUUGGGUUGGUAAGUGUACCUGGAGCCCUAACUGAUAAAAUGACUAUGAUGCCCCUAUGUGAUAAAAUGACUGUUAUGCCCCUAUAAGAUGUAUGAUUGAGCAUGCCACUUUAAACAUAUUGAAUACACGUAUGUUAUUAUGACACGUCACAACAUGAUGUAUGAUAUGUUGCAUGGGGAUGAGUUUAUUAUGACUGGAGGAAGUGUACUGUACUGGCAGCUUUGCUGCAUAUACUAUAUAGUGCCGCAACCGGUACUACUUAAAGUGUAAGGAUAGGUGGGUUGAUUAUAUCCCCACAUGGAGUGUAGGGUUGGACGGAAAUGGAAUGUAGAGGCUAGUUGGGUAGGAUCCCUUGAUUGCAUAUCUGUACUGUACUUUCACUGAGAUGGGCUUUGACCCAAACUGAUAUUGAUACUGUAAUGGGCUAAGGCCCUAACUGAUACUAAACCGUCACUGGAUUGGUCUUAGGCCCAGACUGUAUUUACUCACUAUUUGUUUAUUUGAUAUGGGAUUACACACUGAGUUUUCAUAACUCACCCAUCUGUUUAUCUCUACAGGUAAUCCCCAGUCUUAGGCGGAUCGGUGCUGCGAGGGACUCAAAGGUGGCCAUACAACUGAACGUACUUUCGUAUUUAAAUUUUUUAAAUCAUAAGUAAUUUUAUUUUGGGUAUUUUUAAUGUAAUAAGGCCUGUUUAGAUUGUAUUUUUAUUUCGAAAUUUUAAUUUGCUUUGGUUAUAACUGCUUGUAUUAGGAACUCGAAUUUUAAAAAGAAACAAUGUUUUUACAAAGUAAACGCAAGAACGCAAUCAAUUUAGAAAACUUUCGCUAUAAAGCGAUAUCUUGACAUUCAAAAAGUUUUCAAAGUAAAUACCUUUUGAUUGGGACGUAAGUUUAAGAUGAAUGACACGUUUUAAAAUCAUCAAUAAGAUCACACAACGAAGUUAAAUUUCGAAAGGGUUUUUCAAAUGAUAUCACACUUUGCGAAAAAAAACACUUCAAUAUGACAUCGUCAGAUUCGUCCAUAACGUCCAGGCCGGGUUUGGGGAGUUACAACUUUGGCCGUUCAAACAUGAUUUAACACAUUAUCGAAUUAGCACAUAUCAACAAGGUACCAAAUGUACCAAUACAUGCCAAACACAUCAAUUAACAUUCAACUAAUCAUCAACCAUAAGUUCACCUAUACAUGCCAUUAUAACCAAAAUAUCAAAAUCUACCGAUAUAGCUGCUGGAUAGUGUGAUAGACCUCUGAUGAACUUCCAACCCGGUCAAGCUUCCGAUAAUAUAAAAAGUAACGAAAAAACAACUAUGUAAGCAAUGAAUGCUUAGUAAGCUCGUAUAAACUUUAGUCAUAUCAAUCCAUUUCAAAUAUAAAAUUUAUACAUAUCAAGAAUAAUCAUAUAACAAUACUGCAAGGUUCAUGAAACCAUAUCCAACAACUCACAAAGUGAAUAAAUACACAACAUCACAUAUAUAUCAUCCCUAGCAUAGUAGGACUUUAUAAAACUUUAAACCCUUUCAAAUUUUAUUAUUUUUAUUUGUAUUUCUUUACUUUCUAUUGCAUUUACUCUCAUUAGCUCAAAUAACAACAUCAAUUCAAUUCAUCAUUCCCUUUUUCAUCAUUCUACAUUUCAGGUAUGAACUUACUAUUUCAUUACCCUUCGACACCCAUUUCAUAUGCAUAACACACAAGACAUAAGCAUAUCAUUCAAUCAUAGCCACAAGCUGGUGCAUUAAAACGUAACUCCUUUUGGAAUUAGUCAAAUUAUAAACCAUUUCACAAGAAAUUACACAAUUUAAACCUUACCACUCUUUCACGAACAUAAGCAUAUUUCCAUUGGAGCACUUACCAUUUCAAUGCAACUUAUAAGUAAACAUAAUACCAUUCAAUCAGUAGCUUGGCACAUGCCUAAAUAUCAAACAACAACACAUGUUAGCCAUGUAAAUACAUAUAUACACCAAUAAUCAUGGAUGAGCACAACAAUUGAUUAAUUUUCAUAUACAUGUAUCAUCCAAUUCAAUUUUUCAUAUACCAUGUAACAACAUUUCCAUGUAAUUCAUAUGUGUCCCCGUAACAGUCUGUAUUGAACUAUUACCAUUUCAUAUUAGAAUAUUUCCUGUUGAACCAUUUAGAAUACCGCUGGAUACUCGGGAUAGCUCACACAUAGUGUGUUAAACUAUAAUCUGUCAAUUCCUGUACAUGUAUGGUCAUUCGAGCUAUGAAUCGGUAUGCUUUCACAAGAUGUAAAUCAGUAAGCUCAUACGAGCUGGGAAUUGAUAAACUCUCACGAGCUUCAAAUCCAUAAGCUCAUACGAGUUGAAAUAAGUAAUCUCUAAUGACAUGUCAUUUGUAUCCUAUUAAUUCUUCAGGUUCAAAUGGGGCUCGGUAAUCGUCAUACGUCGUUGGAUUUAUGUCGUUUCAUAACACGGUAAAUUGCAUACUAAUAUAUAUUGAUUUUGUCACAAUAUAAUCACAUAUUAACAUUAAAUUUAAUCAAAAUUGUACAGAAUACAGUUCAUACGAACUUACCUGGCUAAAUUGUAGAAAUACCAAGUUUAGGGGCAUAUUGGUAAUUUUCUAUUUUCUCGAUUUUCCAUCCGAUCUUGAUCUAAAUUAAUAAUUUCAUUCAAUAUAUCAAUUUAGAUAAUAAAAAAAAUUCAUUUCAAGCAAUUUGAUCAUUUUGAAAUUUUUACAAAAUUGCCCCUAAAAUUUUACUUUUAUUCAAUUUAGUCUUUUAGCCCAAAACAUGCAAAUUAACCAUUUUACCCAAAAUUGAACCUAGCUGAAUACUUAUGGCAUCAAAUAAAACACAUUAUUGCAACAAUUUCAUAUCAUGUCCUUGUACUUUUACUAUUUUAACAAUUUAGUUCCUCAUUGAAAAAUAUAUCAAAAAUCACUUAAUAAAAUAUUUUUAAAUAUAAACCAACAUUUCAAAUUCAUCACUUAACAUAUAAAAUCAUAAGGUUUAUCAAUGGAAACAUUUAAAAUAUUUAACAAUUUCAAAAUCGAAGGUACGGGCUAGCUAGACCUAGUUGCAACGGUCUCAAAAACAUAAAAUUUUUUAAAAAUAGACCCAAAUUUAGCUUACAUGCAAAGGAGGACUUGGCCGGAUGUUUAAGCUACCAUCUAUGGCUUCCUUCAAUCUCCAAUUUCCGGAAAAACUAAAGAACAAAGAUGAUAGCAUAAUUGUUUUAUUUUUAAUAUAAUUUAAUUUGUCAAAUUACCAUUGUAACCUUGAUUAAUAAUUAAAAUAAACAUCAAAUUCAAGCCCAUAAUUUUCCAAACACCUUGAAUGGUCUAAUUAUCAUUUAAGUCCCUUUUCCUUUAUUCAAUUAACCAUUUAAUCACUCAAAUCAAAUAGCGAUCAAAUUUUACAUCUUUUAUGGUUUAGUCUUUUUUAAUUAAUUAACUAUCGAAACUUUAUAAUUUUUCAACAAAACUUUAAUACCACCUUAAUGACACUCCGUAAAUAUUUAUAAAAAUAUUUACGGCUUGGUUUAUAGAAAUGAGGUCCCGAUACCUUACUUUCUAAAACCACUUGACCUUAGGGUCUUACCACUUGAACUUAAUUAAUCCUUGAAAUAGUAUAUAUUAUCAAAUCAAAAUGUAACAACCCGUUUUUAGUCAAAUUGGAAUAGUGGUUUUGGGUCCACAAAUCCGAGGUUGUAAAAUUAUUUUAAUAUUAUUUUAAGUCUUUGCAGCAUGAUACUAUGCAUGUGUGAAAGUUUUGUGAAGAAAUUUUAUCGUUUGAAUAGUUAAUUUGAUAAAAAGGACUAAAUAGCGUAAAAUGCAAAAGUGCUGUCCUAUUAGCUAAAGGUGACAAAUAGCUAUGGUUAAUUUAGAUGUCCUUAUGUGGUAAAUAUACCAUUAAUAGCAUGAGUGGACAAUUUUGGACAACCAUUAUGUGAUUUGAAUGGUUUAAUAUUAAGGUUAAUAUGGUAAAUGAUAAUUAAAAGGUUAAUUAAAUAAAAACAAAAAAAACAAUAAUUUUAGUCAUCUUUUUUGUUCUAGCCGAAACUAAGAGAAGAAAAACAUCCACGAAAAGCUUUUAGGGUUCGGUCACUUGGUAGCUCAAUUGGUAAGUGAUUUUGACUCGAUUUUUAAUGAUUUUUAUGUUUUUGUGAUCGCUGCUUCGUAUUCUAGCUAGCUCGUGCCUUAAAUUUCAAAACUGUUAAAGAUUUAUCAUGUUUCCAUUGUUGAAUUACUUGAGUAAUUUGAUGAUUUAUGAUAGAUUUGGAAGGUUUAAUAUUUGAUUAAUAGCUUUUGUAAAGUAGUUUUUGACAAGAAUGUCAAAAAGGGAUUAAAUUGAGAAAAUGUGAAAUGUGGUAGUUAAAAGUGUGAAUAAAUUGAAAAUAUGGGCUGCUAGAAACAUGUGUUAAAUUCGGCUAAGCAUGGGUUUGUGCUAAAUUGCAUGAAUUUGCAAUUUUAUGAAAUAAGGACUAAAUUAUGAAAAAUGUGAAAGUUUAGGGGCAAAUGUGUAAAAUAACCCUAAUGCAUAUUUUGGAUUGAAUUAAAUAAAUAGUUUAUUAAAUGAGUUAAUUUUUAAUAUAUUUAGAUCAAGAAAAAUGGAAUUCGGAUCAGGAUCAGGGAAAAAUGAAAGUUAUCGACUAAUCGACUCGAUUCACCGUUUUAAUAUCUGAGGUAAGCUUGUAUGUAAUAAGCACUAUUAUAACUAUGUUUUUAAUGCUUUGAUAUUGCAUAAAUUGUAUUAAUGGGACUACAGUCAUGUUCGAUGACAAAUCAGCUACAUAUGGCACUUUGUGUGCUAGAUCGGCUAUACAUGACACUUAGUGUGCGAUUCGAUAUAGCUUCGGCUAUAUAUGGCACUUACUGUGUAAUUUGAGAUAGCCUCGACUAUGUACGGCACUUAGUGUGCGAGAUAUCGAGUAUUUAAUGGUACGCCGAAUAUGUAUGAGCUUGUUAUGGAUUGUUACAGGUAUGUAUAUGCGUAGUAUGAACUUUAAAUCGAAUAAGUUACGAGGUUGCAUAUAAGCAUAUGAAUAAGCAUGUGAAAGAUUUGUUAGUAAUCAUGAAUUUCAUGUUAAUAUGUUUAAAUUGAUGAAUGGUGUAUUUAUGAUUAGUUAAGUUUAUAUCAUACGAGCUUACUAAGCUAUAAAACUUACUUUGUUUACUUUCCAUGUCUUAUAGUGAUUUCAAAGCUAACUCGGAUUCGGGGAUCGUCGGAGAAUACGUCACACUAUCCAACCAUUACUUUGGUACUUUUGAGCUUAUGGUUUGAUCAUAUGACAUGUAUAGGAUAUUGGUCAUGUUGGUUAUGUCUUGGUAGUGAAUUUUGUCAUUUCAGAUGGCCUAUGAAUGGUUAUGUUUUGAAUUGUAUAUAUAUAUAGCCACGAGACUUGCCUUGUUUUGGUAUGUUUGAAUCAAGUGUAGGUUUAUAUAAAUAUAUGGCUUAUUGUAACACCCCUAACCCGUAUCCAUCGUUGGAAUAGCGUUACGAGGUAUUACCGAUCAUUUCACAACAUAUAGCAUACAUUUAUCAAACAUAAAGCAUUCAUUCUCAUAAAUCAUUCAACACAAUCACAAUGUCCCUUAUAAGGGCCUAUGAGGCCUUAAACAUGCUUUAGAAGUGGUUCGGGACUAAACCGAUAACAUACGAAAAUUUUUGGAAACUUAGAAAAAUUUCAAUCAUACAGGAGUCACACAUUCGUGUGAAUAGGCCGUGUGCCUCACACGGCUCCAGACACGCCCAUGUCUUAGGCUGUGUGAAAACAGGGCAUACCUACUGACUUGUAUCACACGGCCGAGGACACGCCGUGUGCCAGGCCGUCUGAAAACUGGAGGGUAUACUGACUUAUGCAACACCGCCAAGUCACACGCCCGUGUGCCAAUUAGGGGGUAUAUUGACUUGUACUACACGGCCAAUCACACGCCCGUGUGUGAAAUCGUGUGGAGCAUACUGACUUCAAUUCAAUUUUAACACCAGGAGACACACGGUUGCAUAAAAUGAUCGUGUGUCACACAUGGUUGAACACACGCUUGUGUGGACAAAAAUAGGCCAUCCGCAAGGCCAAUUUACCACCCCAACUUCAAAGUAUCUAUACAAGGCAAAAUGGUACCGUUUCAUUAUACAAUUAGGCAGCCAAAAUCAUCAACCAAAUUCAUACCAUUAUAAUUUCAUCUAUUCCAGUUCUCAAAUCGCUACCAUUUACUUAGCCAAAUACAUGCCAAAACUGUAAUAUCCUGAUUUUGGGCCUAGUCGGAAUAGUGGUUUCGUGACCAUAAAAUCCGAGAUAGAAAUAAUUAUUUUAUGAUUAUUUUAAGGUCUAUGGUAUGAUUGCAUGAUUGUGUGAAAAUUUCGUGAUGAAAUUCUAUGCCUAAAGUGCUUAAAUUGAAAGUAGGGACUAAAUCGAAUAAGUUACAAAACUUGCAUUCUAGAAGUUUUUAGUAUUGUUUUGGAAUAUUAAUGAGGAGGUCUUAAAUAUAAAUUUGACCAAUUUUAAGUUCAUGGACAAAAUUAGGACAUGGAAGGAAUUUUUGGAAAGUUUAGUAGUAAGGGCAUUUUGGUCAUUUAGGGGUAAAAUGAAUUAAAAUACAAAAUUAAAAGCCAAUUUGGCUCAUCUUCAACCCCAUGGCCGAAUAUAGCAAGGAGAAACCAUGGCUAGGGUUUUUCAAGCUUCCAAGCUCGAUUGUAAGUCCGUUCUAGCCUCGUUUUUAAUGAUUUUUACGUUUUUUAGAGUCCCGGUAGCUCGAUUAAGCUUAUGCUAGCAAUAAUUUAACCUAGGGUUUAUAUUUGGAAAAAUACCCAUAGGUGAAAUUUGUGUAUUUUGGUGUUUUAUGAUAGAAUAUGAGGUUUUAAAUUAUGUUAGACAACUUGUGCUACUCGGUUUUAAGCGAAAACUAGCAAAAAGGCUUAAUCGGUAAAAAUACCUAAUAGUCAUAAAUACAUGUUAGAGUGAGAAUUUGAUGUUGCCAUAGAAGGGAAAAAUGAUCAGCAUGUCAUAAAACAUAAGAAAAUAGGUUGAAGUUUAAUUCCCGAGCCUAGGGGCAAAAGUGUAAAUAUGCAAAAGUUUAGGGGCAAAAUUGUAAAUUUUCCAAAAUAUGAUUUUGGGUCAAUUUGAAUAAUGUGAGUCCUAAUUAGACUAUAUUUUAAAUGAUAGAGCAAGGAAAACUGAAAUUCGGGCUAAAAUGGGGAAAAUACCAAGUUGUGGACGAAAUGGUAAAAGUAGCCAUUUUCGCAUACGAGGUAAGUUCAUGUGUAAAUGUAGUAACAUAAUUGUCAUUUUAAGCAAUUUAAUGUUGUUUAUAUGAUAUGAUGCUGAUUAUUAUAAUGAAAUAUUAUGCUUUGUGGUUAUUGUUGAAUAAUAUGUAAUUAUGUGAAUUACUUGAUGAGUAUGAACUAUCACCGAAGUAUCAAUUUCGAUAUUCCGUGGAAGAUGGCAAAGAUGUGUGAUCGAGGGAAAAAGCCCGUUUGAACCUUAGGAAUAGAUUAGGAUACAAGUGACAUGUCACUAGGAUGGUUGAGCAUCCGAACUCGUUGAGUUGAGUCCGAGUUCGAGAGAUGUAACUAGGCAUCCGAGCUCGUUGAGUUGAGUCCGAGUUCACUUAUGGAUGCGAACGCCCGAGCUCGUUGAGUUGAGUCCGAGUUCACUUAUGGGCGGGUUACAUGGUAGCUUGGCUACAUAUGUGGCACUUAUGUGCAAACUUUCCAUGUAUCCGAAUUAUAUUCCGAUGUGUUCAACGGGUAAAGUUUUACUCAAAUGGAGGAAUACCCGAGAUGAAAAGAGACGUAUUGGUAAGUGAUGAGAAAUGGAUAUUUUGGACAGGUAUGUAUUUAACCCUCGGGUUGAGUGUUGAUUACAACCACGAUAAGGUAAUAAGAUGAUGAAAAAUGAUUAAAAAAUGUGAUAAGUGUGUUGAUGAUAUAUGCUAAUGUUGAUUAGUUUGAUUGUUUGUUAUGUUAUUUAUUAUUUACAUAUGAACUUACUAAGCAUUUAUGCUUACUCCCUCCUUCUUACUCAUUGUAGUUUUGGACAAGCCAGUUCAGGAGUCGGGAUAGGUCGAAGGCUCAGUCACACUAUCCGGAAGAUUUUUGGUAAAUGGCUUGUAAAUUUAAGUAUGACAUGUAUAGCAAUAUACUUAUUUUGUGUAAAUGAUCUUAUGAUAUGGUGACAGAAUGGUUGAGAAAAUAUUUGAUAAUGAUAAAUUAUGAAAAUGGUAAGUUUAGAUUAUGUUUGAUGUUAAGGAAAAUUAUUAAGAUACUUAGUGCAUAAAAACUCAUAAGAGGGAUGAAAUUUGCCAUAAAUAGAAUACUACAGCAACACUGACGCGAGUUUGAAAAUUUACUAAAAAUCAUAGCAAUUGAAUUUGGUGAUGGGAUACAUAUCAAAUUGAAGCUUAUUAUGUCUAAUUUCACAUGAAACAAAUGAAACAGGUAAAGGAAUUAUAUGUUAGAAGAUAUUUGAAUUUUAGUGAAACAGGGUCAUAGCAGUUUCUGAAUCCCCUGUUCCUAAUUUAUAAAUUCACCAUAAAUUGUAAAGAUAUAAUUAGGUGUUGUAUUUUAUAUCCUCAGAAUCCUUAUUGAGUCUAGUUUUAGGAGAAACAAACCUCAUAGUCAUAUGAAUUUUUUACAGAGAGAAAUGUGGUUCGUAGUAAACAGAGGUCAGACCAGUCAAGUCCUGAAACAGGGGUAACUUUAACUAAUAAACUGUACUAAUUGGCCCUACCAAAAAUUUUAUAAAAAAAUUAGUAGAUAGGUAUAUGAGUCUAGAUUCAGGGAAAAUUUACGGAUAUUGAUUUUGAGUUUUUUAACUCGAGAUAUGAUUUUUCUUGUGACUGUGACGCAAGUAGCUUAAAAGCUGUGAAUGUAGAAACAAAUAAUCCAAAGUUCUAAAAAUGUUAAAUUAAGCUUAGUAACACCUCAUACUCGACUCCGGCGACGGUCUCAGGCGUGGGGGCGUUACAAAAACAAUAUCAAACAAUAUGGUUCAUUUAUCAUAAUUCACAUAACCAUUUUAACUUCCAUAAUGUCUUGGUUGCAACCAUGCCAAAACAAACCAAAAUAAGCCAUCACUCAUGGCUAUAUUUAUAAAACCCAAAACAUAUACAUUUACAAGCCAUUUCUAAUAGCCAAACACAUAUCAAUAUUAACAUCAUUUACAAGCCAAAUCUCAUGGCUAUAAUCAUAACCAAAAUACCACAUAUAGCCUAUAUAUGCCAUAUACCCUAAAUGUAUAAUUCAAAAGUACCAACUUAGAUGUUUGAUAGUGCGAUGAUGUUCCCGACGACUCCUAGAUCUGAGCUAGCCUUAAUUCACUAUAAAACAUAGAAAAAUAACACGAAGUAAGUUCAUAGCUUAGUAAGCUCAUAGAUGAAUAACUUAAUUCAUUAAAUCAAUGCAAAUCAACCAAUUACACAUGACAAAACCAUAUACACAUUAACUACAAACCUUUCUCAUGUCUCAAAACAUGAUCAAAUACCAUCUCAUUGAACUUUCACUAUUUAAUACUCGAAUAGGUUCUGUACAAAGCUGUAUUACCUCGUACUAACCUCUUCCUUAACCAUAUCAUUCGUUUACCUGUUGAACCAUUCGAAAUAGAAAUCAAACACUCAGGGGUCUAGUACAAUAAUAACCUAUACCAUGGCUAGUAGCCGAAUCAAGGUAACUUAUCUGAAGAACUAUUAUCAUGGCCCGUAGGCAAAUGAUCCGAUGUGCAUGGCCUGAAGCCAAAUCGGUAAAAUACGCACCUGAAGUGCUAAUAUUAUGGCCCGAAUCCAACUCAACAUAUCAUUUAUUGACAUGUCAAUAGUAUCCAAAACUAUUCUUACAGUUCAACCGGGCUUUCACACUUUUCGAUUCUAUCAUCGAAUGCAUCCGUAAAGUCAGUUUCACACUUCAUACAUUAUCCAUAAUCUCGUUUUAAAAAUUAAUGCAAUAUUAAAACAUUUUAACAUACAUUUAUAAUGUAAUCAUCACAUACGAACUUACUUCGUAUUCGAAAUUGACGGAUCAAGUCGACUACUCGAUAAUCUUGCUUUUCCCUCAAUCUAAUUCUAGAUUCCUCUUUUCUUGAUCUAAAUACAUUCAAAGUUAACUUAUUUAAUCAACCAUUCAUUCAAUUUAGUCCAAAACAUACAUUUAGGCCUAUUUGCACAUUAGCCCCUAAACUUUCACACUUUUAACAAUUUAAUCCUUAUUUUAAAAAACACAAAAUUCACAUAAUUUAAAUAAACACAAGCUAGGCCAAAUUAUUUAUAGGUCCUUAGCAGCCCAAAACUUUCAUUUAUUUCACAUUUCAACCAUACAAUUUGUACAUUUCACAAUUUAAUCCCUAUUAUGCAGUUUCAUCAAAAAUCACUUUACAAAACAUGUAAAACUAUCAUCAAGCUUUCAUAUUUCAUCUUCAAAUGCCAAAGAACACAUAAAAUCAUCAAUGGAAACUCUUAAAAUCUUUAACAGAUUCGAAAUUAAAGGUACAGGCUAGCUAGAUUGAGCUGCAACGAUUACAAAAACAUAAAAAUCAUCAAAAAUCAAGCUAAAACCGUACCUUAAUCAAGCUAGGAGUGUGCCGAAACUUAGAAAGCUUCAAACCCUAUCUUUUUUUUCUAUUUUUGGUUUCCAAUGAAGAAGAUGAACACAAUUUCAUCUUUUGAUAUAAUUUAAUUAACUUAAUUUAUCAAUUUACUAUAAUAACCUUUGUUAUAAACAUAUAAAAACAUAUAAUGGAUGGCCAUAAUUGUCCGUUAACACUACCAAUGGUCUAACAUCAUCAUAAGGACUUUUAAUUUAAUAAAUCAUAGCAAUUAAACACCUUUAACAAGUAGAAUGCAACCUUUUCUUUUUACGCAAUUUAGUCAUUUUCACAAAUUAACCAACCAAUCAAUAAAAUUAGCUUACGAAAUUUUCACACAUAUCAUAUAACAUGCUGUAAUUACCGAAAAUAAUAUUAAAAUAAUUUCUUAACAUCAAAUUUGUGCUUUCAAAGUCACUUUCUAAUUUAGCUAAAACCGGGCUAUUACACUUAUGUUGUGAGUUCAUGUAAAAGUAUUUUAAGUCCGUGGAUGAAUAUAUGAAUGACAUGUAUUAUGAGGUUUGUGGAAUUGGUAUCAUGCUUGUGAAUUGGUACAAAAUGAUGUGUGUUUGGUAAGUGUUUAGCUAGUUGAUUGGUAUAUGUGUUUAGGUAUGUUUUGAUUAAGAAAAACAUAAGUUAUAAGCAUGUUGGUUAUUAGUGUUGGAACUGUUAUGAAAUUUGCCUUGGUUGUGGCUAAAAUAUAUGUUCAAUUAUGCUAUAUUGUGGUUCCAUUUGGGUUGUUUAGGUACAUGAAGUUGUGGGUGAAAAAUUGUCUUGGUAAAUAGCCUAUUUUUGUCCACACGGGUAGAGACACGGGCGUGUAUCUCAGCUAUGUGUAACCACAUGAUCAUAUUACAUAGCCGUGUGUCCCCUAGUGUUAAAAUUUAAAUCAAGUCAAUAUGCUUCACAUGGCCUCACACACGGGCGUGUGACUUGGCCGUGUGGCAUAAGUCAGUAUACCCUACAGGUUUGGCAUGGCCUAGUACACGGCCUGGCACACGGGUGUGUGUGACCAUUUUUAGGGCACAGGGCUAGCCACAUAGGCAGCAUGUUGGCUGUGUGACCUAAGUAAGAGA